Non-coding RNA from Potamilus streckersoni, 67 nucleotides. The record is from the annotation of a GenBank genome assembly. Lineage: Eukaryota; Metazoa; Mollusca; Bivalvia; Unionida; Unionidae.
GUGGCCUAGUAGUUAGAGCGUUCGCCUCGGAUGCGGGAGGUCGUUGAUUCGAUCCCCGACUCUGUCA